AGAGUUUGAUCCUGGCUCAGGAUGAACGCUAGCUACAGGCUUAACACAUGCAAGUCGAGGGGAAACGACAUCGAAAGCCUGCUUUUGAUGGGCGUCGACCGGCGCACGGGUGAGUAACGCGUAUCCAACCUGCCCACCACUUGGGGAUAACCUUGCGAAAGUAAGACUAAUACCCAAUGAUAUCUCUAGAAGACAUCUGAAAGAGAUUAAAGAUUUAUCGGUGAUGGAUGGGGAUGCGUCUGAUUAGCUUGUUGGCGGGGUAACGGCCCACCAAGGCGACGAUCAGUAGGGGUUCCGAGAGGAAGGCCCCCCACAUUGGAACUGAGACACGGUCCAAACUCCUACGGGAGGCAGCA
RNAcentral lists this ribosomal RNA (356 nucleotides) under uncultured bacterium. RNAcentral describes it as "bacterial SSU rRNA". It matches the Rfam family "Bacterial small subunit ribosomal RNA", at positions 8 to 353 of the family's 1533-position model. The record is from RNAcentral.